UCGCGUGCUCUGGGGUCGGUGAAAAUCCGAGCCGGCGGUGAAUGAUCCGAAGCGUCCUCGCUUCGCUCACAAGUCCGCGACCCGAUCACAUCCAGUGAUCGGUUGACCAGGUGGAACUCCUGGACCGACGGUCAAAGUCCGGAUGGGAAGUGCACGCAA
This 159-nucleotide non-coding RNA is filed under the name Nocardioides sp. RNAcentral describes it as "FMN sequence". It matches the Rfam family "FMN riboswitch aptamer (RFN element)". From Rfam's summary of the family: The RFN element is a highly conserved domain that is found frequently in the 5'-untranslated regions of prokaryotic mRNAs that encode for flavin mononucleotide (FMN) biosynthesis and transport proteins. The record is from RNAcentral. RNAcentral also lists the same sequence under 1 other name. Lineage: Bacteria; Bacillati; Actinomycetota; Actinomycetes; Propionibacteriales; Nocardioidaceae.